CUUCCGUUCUGAUUAUACUAUGGACAAUGCUCUGGAAUCUGUGGUUCAAAUCACAGCUUUAUACCAAUCGUUCUUGAAAUAGUACCUUUAAAACAUUUU
Molecule: non-coding RNA, 99 nt
Organism: Arvicanthis niloticus (Nile rat)
Lineage: Eukaryota; Metazoa; Chordata; Mammalia; Rodentia; Muridae
Source: RefSeq, a predicted model, not a curated record